Molecule: ribosomal RNA, 469 nt
Filed under: uncultured bacterium
Lineage: Bacteria
Description: partial 16S ribosomal RNA
Rfam family: Bacterial small subunit ribosomal RNA
Source: RNAcentral
GACGAACGCUGGCGGCGUGCUUAACACAUGCAAGUCGAACGGAAAGGCCCUGCUUGCCGGGUGCUCGAGUGGCGAACGGGUGAGUAACACGUGGGUGAUCCGCCCCUUACUUUGGGAUAAGCCUGGGAAACUGGGUCUAAUACUGGAUAGGACCAUGCUGUAGGUGGUGUGGUGGAAAGAUUAGUUUCGGUAAGGGAUGAGCUCGCGGCCUAUCAGCUUGUUGGUGGGGUAAUGGCCUACCAAGGCGUCGACGGGUAGCCGGCCUGAGAGGGUGGACGGCCACAUUGGGACUGAGAUACGGCCCAGACUCCUACGGGAGGCAGCAGUGGGGAAUAUUGCACAAUGGGCGCAAGCCUGAUGCAGCGACGCCGCGUGGGGGAUGACGGCCUUCGGGUUGUAAACUCCUUUCAGCCAUGACGAAGCCCUUGUGGUGACGGUAGUGGUAGAAGAAGCACCGGCUAACUACGUG